This 116-nucleotide ribosomal RNA is filed under the name Fidelibacterota bacterium. Lineage: Bacteria; Pseudomonadati; Fidelibacterota. The record is from RNAcentral.
UUCGACGACUUUAGCGCAGGGGCAACACCCGAUCCCAUUCCGACCUCGGAAGUUAAGGCCUGUAGCGCCGAUGAUAGUGCAUUCUUUGAGUGUGUGAAAGUAGGACGUUGUCGAGA